UCACUCAACUGCUGUCAAAAAUUGCGGUCGAAGAGAAACUGCUUGGUCGCCUACUGAAGAAAACAUAAACAUAGCAAAUUAACGACUUCACAGUUUUCUCCAAAUAGUGCAAAAAGCAGACGUCAGUGGCGCUCAACUUGUCGGAGUGCCACAGAGAUCACCUAUUGGGAAAAAGUGAGAACUUCUUAGCGCUAAUGUAGUAGCUCAUUUACUCUCGUUUCUCCAGCGGUAGUAGAUGGCAAAAAUGGUGAAUAUCAUGUUUUCGCUAACAUUUUAAAUUUUGCUGCUGAAUUAUUUAUCGCUGAAUCCCUUACCACUGAAACAUUUUACAGGAUAGCAAAAUUUUUUGAGAGAAGCAAAAACUAUGUGCCACGUGGAGCGAUAUCAGGUUUUAGCAACUGAGAUUUGAAGUAAUUUUUGAAACCGGCCAUUUCUGUAUAUUUUCGACUACAGUUUGUCGUACAUGUGCAGCCCAUUGCUCCAAGAACAUAUACUUUAAGGCCUUGGAUCAUGCUUUUGCAACGAUGGGUGAUUCCUGUCUACCAUUUAGAAGGCUGAAUGUCAGGAAAAUUGUACUGAUUUAAAACCAAAAAAAGCAAAGCAAUAGUAUUGUAUACUGACCAUUAUGGAAAAUUGAAACUAAUCUACUAUCCAAGUUGAGUUCCCCAUGCUGCUUUACCAUUUACAAAAAUGUCUCAAACUGGUUUCACACAUACAUCCACAUUUUUCUGUUCAACAGGGAAGAAGUUCUACUAUACUUGCCAAUACUAUACUUGCCAAGAACAUGGCUACCAGAAACUCAAAUUGCUCAUAGGAUUAACAAUCUUGUAUGUUGUUCGAUCUUGGAGUUGACAACUUGGCAUAUGAUGCCCUUUCAAAGCUGCUGGCUGAAAUUAAUUAUGGCAGCCGUUCGGAAAAGGUGAAGAUGUUCGAGGAAAGAUAUCUUCAGACAGAUACCAGUGCAUAGUUCAACCCUAUUAACUAAUCACCAUGGAACUCCAUUAGACCAACUGUUUCAUUAACACCAGAUGUUGCUAAAACCUGUUGCCUCUGAGCCGUCACAUUUUUGGCUGCAUAUUUUUGUUUUGUAUUGAGGUUAGUUACCUAAUUCAAUCCUAUUACUUAAUCAUUACGGAACUCCAUUAGACCCAUUGUUUUUGGUACAAAAAUUUUAGUUUUAAACUUGUGAUUUGGGUUUUAGUGAAACUUGCCUGCCAUUACAAACGCACCGCUGAUUGCGAGGAAAAUACUUUUAUUUCCAAUCAAGCGGUUUUUCAAUCUAAUUGGUGCAACACAAACACUUUGUAGUUGAGUAAAUUUUAAAUAUGAAAUCAAAAAUAAUUCCGUUUUCAUAUUGGUAGUUGAAAAUUCAUAUUUAAAAAAAAAAUAAAGCCGGGAUUUACUUGACUGGUGUGAAAAAUUUGUAUUUUACGUUAAA
Daphnia carinata is the source of this 1438-nucleotide long non-coding RNA. RefSeq lists it as uncharacterized. The record is from RefSeq and is a predicted model, not a curated record. The transcript has 5 exons. Lineage: Eukaryota; Metazoa; Arthropoda; Branchiopoda; Diplostraca; Daphniidae.